UAGGGAAUCUUCGGCAAUGGGGGGAACCCUGACCCAGCAACGCCGCGUGAGUGAAGAAGGUUUUCGGAUCGUAAAGCUCUGUUGUUAAGGAAGAACGAGUGUGAGAAUGGAAAGUUCAUACUGUGACGGUACUUAACCAGUAAGGGACGGCUAACUACGUGCCAGCAGCCGCGGUAAUACGUAGGUCCCGAGCGUUGUCCGGAUUUAUUGGGCGUAAAGCGAGCGCAGGCGGUUAGAUAAGGCUGAUGUGAAAGCCCCCGGCUCAACCGGGGAGGGUCAUUGGAAACUGGUUGACUUGAGUGCAGAAGAGGAGAGUGGAAUUCCAUGUGUAGCGGUGAAAUGCGUAGAUAUAUGGAGGAACACCAGUGGCGAAGGCGACUCUCUGGUCUGUAACUGACGCUGAGGCUCGAAAGCGUGGGUAGCAAACAGG
This 430-nucleotide ribosomal RNA is filed under the name Bacteroidota bacterium. RNAcentral describes it as "Bacteroidetes bacterium partial 16S ribosomal RNA". It matches the Rfam family "Bacterial small subunit ribosomal RNA", at positions 355 to 776 of the family's 1533-position model. The record is from RNAcentral. Lineage: Bacteria; Pseudomonadati; Bacteroidota.